This is a long non-coding RNA of Harpegnathos saltator (Jerdon's jumping ant), 284 nucleotides long. RefSeq lists it as uncharacterized. NCBI's taxonomy places the organism in Eukaryota, Metazoa, Arthropoda, Insecta, Hymenoptera, Formicidae. The record is from RefSeq and is a predicted model, not a curated record. The transcript is spliced from 3 exons.
UUCGUAUUUGUAACUGAUACGAAGCAUAAAUUAAUUGUACGGAGGCAUCGAACAUUGCUGAACAGAGACUGGAUCAACACUGGACACAGAACUAGCAAGAUCUCAGCUGUAGCGAGAAAUAGAAGAAGAGGAUAACUAAGUCGUCGGACGUCGAAUGCGCUUUUGACACACAUUGGUGGGCUAUCCUGGCCAUCGACCCCGCCAAUUUCGAUGAACGACCAGCUUAAUGACCUGUCCGGUAACGAGAUAGCGUUUCAAGGGCGAGAGACAGUUCUACAGGACCA